This 69-nucleotide transfer RNA is filed under the name Otophryne sp. AF3571. Its description in RNAcentral is "tRNA-His". Lineage: Eukaryota; Metazoa; Chordata; Amphibia; Anura; Microhylidae. The record is from RNAcentral.
GUGUGCAUAGUUUAAUUAAAAUCCUAGGUUGUGAUCCUAAUAAUGAGAGCUAAUCCCCCUCUGCCCACC